Molecule: unclassified non-coding RNA, 5840 nt
Filed under: Leishmania donovani
Lineage: Eukaryota; Euglenozoa; Kinetoplastea; Trypanosomatida; Trypanosomatidae
Description: gene:LdHU3.17.0770(CDS-product:hypothetical_prote in_conserved)
Source: RNAcentral
AGAGAGGGACGCACUCGCGGACUACUGCAGGCGCCUCCUCAUCGCCCAUUACUUUUUCUGCGAUUUCUUGCACGUUAGUGCUCGCGUUGGCCUUGAGCGCUUCUCACUUCGCCACUCACCCGCUCGUUGCGUUCAAGGAGGCUGCAUCAGCCCAUCUCCCUGCCCCAUACCUCAAGGUCUGUUGGCCAAGAGAGAAGGUUCCUGUCAAAACAGAACGCACACACACACACACACACAUACACACAUACACUCGUACGCAGAUACACGCUCGCUCCCGGUGCAGCCACCUGCGCUGGCAUCGAAGAAUACUUAGCCGCAGUUCGCUCCUUCGCGGCGAGCAGCACCGUCACUGCGUAGAGAAGGAACGAACAAGGCAGAGGACAAGGCGCGCCAGAAGACGCACUGGCGGCGAUAUUGCCGAUAAGAGCUCCAGACGUGAGCGCGCCGCACGGACCCUCCCCCAUCUCCAUCUCUCUUUGUGUGGCCUCUGCCUCACUCUUGUAUUACCGCACCACCGCCACAGCCACAUGAUGAGUCGCCUUCCACACUUUCGCAGUGACUCGGACUUCCACCGCGACGAGGAAAGCUCGCAGAGCAUGUCGCAGGUGCGAGCCAGACCUGCCAUCCGUCUCGACACGUCGCUUUCCUUCAUCAGUACGACAAGCAUUCGGGCAGGCACCGCGAGCGGGCCAGCCAGUCCGCUGCUUGGCGCACUCGGCGGCGACAGUAUCAAUGACGUCAGCAGUAGCGGUGCCGCCGUCUCCUCCCCGACGCCGUUCCACAUGCGCGAUGUCAAUGUAGAGGCGUCUGGGCCGUACUGCCUCCAGUCCCUCAAGGCCAGCCACAGCCGCGCGGUGUCGGACUCGCGCUCUGUUCACUCAUCUUCGCGGCUCUACUCGCAGCAGCAGCAGCCGUCGCAGCACCAACAUCGCCCUCUUUCUCUCUCGCUUUCGUCGUGCUCGCCGUCGGUGAGGAGGGACUGCGACGUCCAAAGUCGGCCUCGACGCGACGGGCAAGCGCGCUGUCUCGCGUCUGAGGCGGACGGCGAUAAGCUGGAAGUCCUGGAGUCGGAGGCCACAGUGAUGACGCGACCCUCAGAUCCAAGGCCAUACGGCAUUGACGCAGACGGCGAGCCUGGGGUGCGCAACCAGCGUGUGAUGAGCUCGACGGUGUCGCCGGCGCCUCGACAUGCUGUGACACUGCCCAGCGACUUCGAAGAUGGGCUGAGCAUGCCAGCCAGCAAGGGUGCACAGCGGCAUGACGAGGAGACGCCGCGGGGCCGGGGCAGCAAGUAUGCCGCACGUGCUGAUGGCUGUGGGAGGCUCAACCUCGACCACGACGCACAAGGGGACGGCCAAGAGGACGAUGCAAAGAGCAUGUCAAGCCCCACCCCACCGCCGCGGCGUGCUUUCGUGCUCUCUCGUCGGUACAGCAGUGCGGACGUGGAGAGCGACGCGCGCGUUGACGACACGGAGCCACCGCGGUCUGCUGCCGAAGAGGCGGAGAGGUGCACGCCGACGCGAAUGCCGCACGUUGAUUUCGCCGCGGACGCGCCACGCGGGAGCACCAUCCUCGUCGUGGACAACGGAGACGAGGACGAGGAGUCCGCCUUUACGGAUGGCCGGUCAACCGCCGCAGUUAUUGCACACGCGAACGCGCACCCGCCCACUGUCGCUCAUGCGCCGCUUGCCGAGGAGCCCGCGGUGUCCCUCACGCUACCGGACGGUCGUCUUGUCCCGGGCGUCGUGGUGGAGGAGGCGGAAAAGGAUGCGCAGCACCGUGCCCCGCUUACCGCCCACCCUGCGACUGCGGCCGAGAGAGAGUCGGCUAGCAGCCACAGUCGAAGCCUGAGCAGUGCAGGCAGCAGCAGUAUGAUGAGCCCGCUUCCCCGGCCUGUACCGCACGUGACGCAGACUGCAGCGACAUCGAAGAGGUCGUCGCCGGCACGUGUGCGAGAGACCGUGGGCGCGGUCUGUGACGAUGCCGGAGACGUGACAGAGCAGCAGCAGCAGCAGCGGGCUGGCACGAAGACGGUUCUGGCGAGCAAGGCCGCGAACGCGCCUGUGAGCUUGACCACCGCCACCGCUGCGACUGCCGCCAAAACUCAGCCUGCGAGCAGCACCCUGAAGUCCAAGCUGCAAGCGACGGCGAUGAUACCAGCGCAGCUGGACGCAGCAGCGUCUCUCCCAACUGCUGCAGACGACGGUCCGGCUAGUGUGACGCCUCUCCACUCCUUCAUGGCGCUGAACAGCAUCUCCGGCCCGUCGUUGUCGGCGACGACAACGGCGAUGAGCUCGCUGUGGCUUGUCAGCGGCUCGACGCCUACCCCGCUCCGCCGACGCCGCGACCGCGAUAGGGAGGUGUCUGCAACGCUGCACACGCAAGAAGGAGAGGCAGAGGAGACGAGCAAGGACAGUGACACCGCCCGAGCUCAGACGGAGCGUGCGCUAAAGCUGGCGGAUGAAGCCAGCACCUCAGCAGUGACGGCACCAGAAGCGGGAGUCGAAUUGCAGGGGAGCACCCAUCAGUGCACCGCUCCCGCUGACACUUCUGUGGAAGCCGAGCAGCUGAUCGCCUCAGCAGAGGGCGCGCAUCACCACUGCAGCUUCUCAGCUCCCCGACACACCGCUGCAAACUCCGCCGCGAGCCCCGCGGUCUCAGCACCGUCCUUUUCACCGGAGCCGGCGCGCCCACAGGCUGAGGCGUACUGCCUGUCAUCGCCGCCUCUCGCAGCCGGCUCUGCCACCUCGGCCUCCGUCCAGCUGAACUUUCUCUCGGCCGAAGACGACGCGGUGACGCCUGUCGACCUGCCGCCACUGCCUGCCCCUGAGGCGGCGACCACGCAGCAUCGGUACAGCACGGCGACACCCCCACCUUUCGCCGCCGCCGGUACGCUCCGCAGGCCCUCGGAGGCGGCGCCGUCGAUGUCCCGGCCGUCUUCAGCCGAGUCUGCGCGUGUCAGCGAGGAGGUGAAGGAGCUGGUGAGGCGCGCGCAAGCCGAGGUGUGCCGGACACGGGAGAGUCUUCUCUCUGCCCUGCGGGACCACCGUGCCAGCUUCCACUUGCCGGAGACGUCGCCGACUGCAGAGAAUACACUCUCGACUACCGCGCCGACGCCUGUCGCGCAGUUGACUGCGACGGUGUCGACCACCGCGUGCGCGUCGCUGAGCGUCUCACCCACGCUGAAGCGCAGUCUCCCACUCUCCACUGUCACCGUGGCCGCAGUGGAGCCGUCUGCGCCGCCAUCGGCUGCGCUGAAAACCGCCUCUGUGUCUCCUACGCGUACGUCGAGGGAGUGGCGAUCUGCCGCCAUUGCCCUGCGGCCACAGCUGAGGGCCGCUGCGGACGCCAUCCUGCGACGCCUGCAGGGCUACGACGCGAGGGAUCACGGCGUCCUGCCAAUGGAGACGGUCGUGCGUGUCACGUACUUUGUCAUUACGCGACGGCAGAUGCCGCCCGCGACUUGGUCGCUACGAACAGCAGAGGGCGCCUUGGCUGCCACACCGAUGCGGGCCUCCAUGGUCGCGUCGGGUGGUGGUGCGGAUACUCGCUCCGAUAGUGCGCACCUUCCGUCUCACCAUGUUGAGGGCCGCCGUGCGGUGCUGCUAUCGGGGACGCCGCUUAGCCGUCAGCUGAGCAGCAGCGAGGCCGGUGAGCCUCGUCACCGAGCCGCGACAGCGUCACACAAGCUCUUCGAGACACCGCGCCAGCAGCGCCUCUCCCUCGAUGCACACGACACGACGACGCGGGUCGGGGGGAGCGGCUCGCCCUUCUCGUCCUCGCAUCUGAUCGGCGUAGCGCAGCCUCCGGACUGCAGCAAGUCGGACGCAGAUGCGGAUGGCGACGACAAGGCGGCGAAGCCGGAGUGCUGCGGCCGUCCGGCGACGUGCAUCUCCCCCAGCCGGACGCUCGAGCAUGUUAUGAUGCUGCAGCAACGCCGCGCCGAGGAAGAGCUGUACCUGCAGUUCUACUUCACCGUGCUGGAGGCUUUCAAGCAAGUGUUUGGCGAGCGGUACGCUUGGCGUCACCUAGGGGCCACCAAUGCCAGCCGCCACGACUGCGCCAUCAACGUUGCCCAGCCGGCGCAGAAGCGGCGAAGAACAAGUAGUGCGGCGCCGUCAGAAUGCAGCGAUCUCCGCGGCCACGCGCACGUGACCGCAACAGAGGCGGAUGCGGAGCAGACUCAGCUGGAUGUGGCGAACGAGUUAAACGACGUGACGGGGCCGCUGGAAACGCUCUUUCCACGACUUCGCCAGCAGUACGCGCUCCUUCAGCGGGAGAGGCGCGACCCCGCUGCUGCGGCACCGAAGUCGAUCGUGGCGAGCACAGGCAAUUCACUGAUGGUUCCCCGGACAACUUCCGAGCUCGUGCGCACGGAGGCGGCUGCGGCUGCAGUGGGCCUCGCUCACCGACCUCCUCCACUGGAUGUUCUCGUGUACUACCGCAAGUUUAUAGAAAGCCUAAGGGAGCUCUGAGCAGGCAUCGAAGAGAGAGGAGGAGGCCAGAAGCCGACAUGGCCUGUGCACGUGCACACUUAGGCUCGAGAGAGAGUGGCCAGGAAGGGAGAGGGCGGCGUGUGCGUGCGUCUUUCCUCGUUUUUUUUUUCAGUGUGCGUCAGGAGUACCUCCUCCUUCUCCCUUAACAGGCUGUGUCGUGCUUGAUAUGCCGGCAGCCUGCUUGUGUGCCAUGAUCUACUCUGUGCUGGUGCGUGCCGGUUUCGCGGGUGCCCCCUCUCCAGAGAAGUAUGCGGGGUGAGGGCGCGGGUGGAGACACGGACACAGCCUGUCAUGCUUUGCUUUCUACACGCUGCCUCGUCGUUGGCGUGAAGGAUGUGGAGGAGGGAAAAGCAGGGGCGUGUGCAUCCGCCGGCGGUCCGGCGCCUUAGGGUUAUACAUGCCCCUGCGUCCCUCCUCCUCUUUUUGGUUGAUGUAUUUACCCCCCCCCCCUUCGGCAGACACAGACAUGCGAAGAGCAGCAGUUGCGAAGAGAACACAUGGCGCCUGCAUGUAUCGGUGGCUCUGCCCCCCUUCCCCGCUCUGUAUUCGUGUCUAUGCCGUUUCCUUUGGGCACUCCUCUGAAUUUUUGAUCGUUUUGGGCUAUAGAGGUUUUUGUUGCCGUGCCUCCUCGAACUCCUCCCUUCGCCCUCUCCGACUCUGGCGUCUCCUUGUAUUUAGACAACGCGCGCAUGUUGUUUGUCUGCUUGCCCCAUCACCUCACCUUCGUCGCUCCUUCGCGUGAUUUCAUCGCCUCCUCGGAGCUGGGCGCACCGGAAGGGGUGCGCCAGAAGGGUCAGGCUGGCGGGGAGGAGGGUAUGGCUGCAGGAGGCGUCUAUAACAUGGCGCGCAUUGGUAUUUCCGAACAUAGAUCUCUGCCCCCACCCCUUACACAUCCACACCAGCGCGUAUGCAGAUAAUGUAAGAGCGAGAUUUGCUUGCGCCUGUGUGAUGAGACACCACUCUUCUGACAUGCGAUGCGCAGCCGUGCUGGCGUAAGCACAUCGCACAUGACGGUGUCUUCGCAUACGUGGCCCCUGUGUUUGUGGGCAACUAGAUGCUGAUCAGUUAACACGGAACCUAUUCUCUUUGUUUUUCUUUUUUUUUUGCUCUGCGUGGACACACUUCGUGCGUGGGACGGAAUGAGCGUGACCGUACACUCACCCCGGCCCCUCUUCCCCAUCUUCCUUCAUCCUUGCAGCUGCAAUGGCACUCCCCUCUGCCUCUUCCUGUCCGAGAUAACCAAGAAGGCGCAGAGGCACACACGCCAGCUGCCACACAAAUGCAGAUGCGCGCGUGCAUGUAUCAGUGAGCAAUUUGUUCCACGAAUAGAGUAGCCCUCGCAUG